Molecule: ribosomal RNA, 937 nt
Filed under: Fomitopsis serialis
Lineage: Eukaryota; Fungi; Basidiomycota; Agaricomycetes; Polyporales; Fomitopsidaceae
Description: LSU rRNA
Rfam family: Eukaryotic large subunit ribosomal RNA
Source: RNAcentral
AGCAUAUCAAUAAGCGGAGGAAAAGAAACUAACAAGGAUUCCCCUAGUAACUGCGAGUGAAGCGGGAAAAGCUCAAAUUUAAAAUCUGGCGGUCUUCGGCCGUCCGAGUUGUAGUCUGGAGAAGUGCUUUCCGCGCUGGACCGUGUACAAGUCUCUUGGAACAGAGCGUCAUAGAGGGUGAGAAUCCCGUCUUUGACACGGACUACCAGUGCUCUGUGAUGCGCUCUCAAAGAGUCGAGUUGUUUGGGAAUGCAGCUCAAAAUGGGUGGUAAAUUCCAUCUAAAGCUAAAUAUUGGCGAGAGACCGAUAGCGAACAAGUACCGUGAGGGAAAGAUGAAAAGCACUUUGGAAAGAGAGUUAAACAGUACGUGAAAUUGCUGAAAGGGAAACGAUUGAAGUCAGUCGCGUUAGCCAGGACUCAGCCUUGUUUUUACUUGGUGCAUUUUCUGGUUGACGGGCCAGCAUCGAUUUUGAUCGCCGGAAAAAGGUUGGGGGAAUGUGGCACCUUCGGGUGUGUUAUAGCCCUCAAUCACAUACGGUGAUUGGGAUCGAGGACCGCAGCACGCCUUUAUGGCCGGGGUUCGCCCACGUUCGUGCUUAGGAUGCUGGCGUAAUGGCUUUAAACGACCCGUCUUGAAACACGGACCAAGGAGUCUAACAUGCYUGCGAGUGUUUGGGUGGAAAACCCGAGCGCGUAAUGAAAGUGAAAGUUGAGAUCCCUGUCGCGGGGAGCAUCGACGCCCGGACUUGAACUUCGGUGAUAGAUCUGCGGUAGAGCAUGUAUGUUGGGACCCGAAAGAUGGUGAACUAUGCCUGAAUAGGGUGAAGCCAGAGGAAACUCUGGUGGAGGCUCGUAGCGAUUCUGACGUGCAAAUCGAUCGUCAAAUUUGGGUAUAGGGGCGAAAGACUAAUCGAACCAUCUAGUAGCUGGUUCCUG